This 1593-nucleotide ribosomal RNA is filed under the name uncultured fungus. RNAcentral describes it as "eukaryotic LSU rRNA". The stretch from base 788 to 1593 matches the Rfam family "Eukaryotic large subunit ribosomal RNA", at positions 1 to 667 of the family's 3401-position model. The record is from RNAcentral. Lineage: Eukaryota; Fungi.
CUUGGUCAUUUAGAGGAAGUAAAAGUCGUAACAAGGUUUCCGUAGGUGAACCUGCGGAAGGAUCAUUAACAUAUUCUCUUAACAAAGAAUAAUCAAACGUGAACUAGUUUCGCCCCCGGGUUGGCUUCGAGUGACAUGUGAAUGAACGGUGUGAGAGAAAUCUCUUGCCCAUGUGUCGGUCAUUUAAUUGACAGCUUGGAGUUAGCUGCGGUAGAUAGGUCUGCGCUACAGGACCACACCCUGCCACUGUAGUCUAGGCGCCCCACUUUUAUUAUUUCUUACUGAUUUUGUACAAUUACCCUGAAUUCCUGGUUUACUCCAGUUGAGUUCGAGUAAAUGUCACUUUAUAUAAUACGAAACAACUCUUAGCAACGGAUAUCUUGGUUCUCGUAACGAUGAAGAGCGCAGCGAAAUGCGAUACGUAAUGCGAAUUGCAGAAUUCAGUGAAUCAUCAAAUUUUUGAACGCAACUGGCGCCUUCAGGUUUCCCUGGAGGCACGUUUCUCUCAGUGUCUGUUACAACAACUCCUUUAAUUCGGGCAACUGAAAUUAAAGGGAAUAUGAGUGUUAUGAUGUCAUAUUCAUAUCACUUGAAAUUCAAUGAGUUAGUCUCGCAGCGGUGGUAGCGGAAUUUAUUCCGAUACCUGAGACAACUUACAGAUAUGUAUUUAACUCGUCUUCGGAUGAUUCCUUACAUUUUCUGUAGGAUGUCAAUAUGUCUGUGUUGGCUAAUGAAACUAAGGCAUAUAGUCAUGCUUAAUCGCAUUGACUAUUGAUCUUUCAAAAUUUGACCUGAGAUGAAGCGAGGUUACCCGCGGAAUUUAAGCAUAUUAUUACGCGGAGGAAAAGAAACUAACAAGGAUUCCCCUAGUAACGGCGAGUGAAGCGGGAAGAGCUCAAGUUUAAAAUCGGGGUGCUUGCACCUCGAGUUGUAGUCUCGAGACAUGCUGUCUGCGGUGACGUCGGUACAAGUGCCUUGGAAGAGGUUAUCAGAGAGGGUGACAAUCCCGUCGCUGAUCGACAGUUCGCCGCUUUCGACGUAUGUUCACAGAGUCGGAUUGCUUGGGAGUGCAGUCCUAAUUGGGUGGUAAAUUUCAUCUAAAGCUAAAUAUUGACGAGAAACCGAUAGCGAACAAGUACCGUGAGGGAAAGAUGAAAAGAACUUUGAAAAGAGAGUCAAAAAGUACUUGAACUUGCUAAGAGGGAAGAGCUGAAAACUAGUAUUGCUUGCAGUUACUUUCCCGUUGUGGGUGAAACGAGCGUGCAAUGGGUGGUUAAACCUCAUUGUAUGUGCGAAUUAUCUUCAGCGGUCCCUGUAAUUGUGAGUAGGUCAGCAUCAUUUCGAAGUGUAGGAGAAAGUUUGGUGGAAGAUAGGGUCUUCGGACCUGUUAUAGACAUCAAGCCAUACUAUGCUUUGGAUUGAGGAAGUAUCGACGCUCCGUUUUACGGAGUGACCACUUGGCACCUCAUGUGUUCUAUGUGUAGGAAAGCAAUGCUUUGCUGUGUGUAGGAUGUGUGACUGUGUUGGGCGUGUCACUGCGCCGACGCGAUGCUGACGAAAUGGUUUUCAUCUACCCGUCUUGAAACACGGACC